GAUGAACGCUGGCGGCGUGCCUAAUACAUGCAAGUCGAGCGAACGGACGAGAAGCUUGCUUCUCUGAUGUUAGCGGCGGACGGGUGAGUAACACGUGGAUAACCUACCUAUAAGACUGGGAUAACUUCGGGACACCGGAGCUAAUACCGGAUGAUAUUUUGAACCGCAUGGUUCAAAAGUGAAAGACGGUCUUGCUGUCACUUAUAGAUGGAUCCGCGCUGCAUUAGCUAGUUGGUAAGGUAACGGCUUACCAAGGCAACGAUGCAUAGCCGACCUGAGAGGGUGAUCGGCAACACUGGAACUGAGCCACGGUCCAGACUCCUACGGGAGGCAGCAGUAGGGAAUCUUCCGCAAUGGGCGAAAGCCUGACGGAGCAACGCCGCGUGAGUGAUGAAGGUCUUCGGAUCGUAAAACUCUGUUAUUAGGGAAGAACAUAUGUGUAAGUAACUGUGCACAUCUUGACGGUACCUAAUCAGAAAGCCACGGCUAACUACGUG
RNAcentral lists this ribosomal RNA (497 nucleotides) under uncultured bacterium. Its description in RNAcentral is "partial 16S ribosomal RNA". It matches the Rfam family "Bacterial small subunit ribosomal RNA", at positions 28 to 507 of the family's 1533-position model. The record is from RNAcentral.